Molecule: transfer RNA, 86 nt
Filed under: Hypholoma sublateritium FD-334 SS-4
Lineage: Eukaryota; Fungi; Basidiomycota; Agaricomycetes; Agaricales; Strophariaceae
Rfam family: tRNA
About the family: Transfer RNA (tRNA) molecules are approximately 80 nucleotides in length. Their secondary structure includes four short double-helical elements and three loops (D, anti-codon, and T loops).
Source: Rfam by way of RNAcentral
GCAUUAAUGGGGUAGUGGUAACCUGGGUCGUUGCCAUUAGAGUUGAAAAGCUCGACCCGCCGGGGGUUCGAUUCCCUCUUAAUGCA